AAUCAAAAAAGAACGAUCGGAGGAGUACAUGGUGAUAUCUUAACCGUCAAAUAAAAGUGGAGGAAGAUUGUAUUUUAAACAGAACAGUAUGUUAUUGUUUUGUCAGACCCCCUCCACUACCUUCUUUGUUGGUGUGGUCCGUUACGUCAUUCUUUGUUGCCGGAAGCAAAGGCACUGGUAAAUAUAACAAAAUACAAAUGAACCAGUUCGAUCCUUUAAACAGGAAAAUCCUCUUAAUGUGUCCUUGCGAAAAACGAUUUCCACACGUUUCCCCAAUCCCGAUGACAGUUAAUUUGGAGUUCGAUUAUGACUUAUAACCGUUGCAACAUGGGAAUGAUAAGAAGAGGAGAAAAAAGAAAAAAGAAAAGAAGAAUGUACAUCUUACCUCCACUCCGGUAGGUUAGAAAAAUAGCGACUUACUGCAGCUGCUUGACAAAAGUGUCGGCUUCUUUGGGAUCUUCAAAAUAAACAAUCUUCUCUUUAUGAAGAAUACGGAGCCGAUGAGGAUAUGCAAAUCCUCUGAACAUGCCUUUUUCGAGGAAUAAUUUGAUCACCAGGUCAAACUCCUUGCGCUUUCGGCGUACCUCUGCAGACAGAUCCUGGCGAAUGGUGAGUUUAGUAUUACCCUCGUGGAUUGACAUUUUCUUCGCAGAUUGCAGUAUCAUUUCUUUAUCUCUGACUCGUAGAAAGCGGAUCAUAAUUGGUCUUGGAGGCUUCCCUGGCUCGGGAUAUGGUCGUAGAGAGCGGUGAACCCGCUCCAACUCUAGAUUCUGAUCGAGGGAGAGUUUGAGCCAGCAAGACACUAGAGGGCGCCAGAGGAUCGAAUAAUGAAAUCUGAUGCAGAGCUCAGAGGAUCAGUGAGUUCUCUGCACGAUGUGUCUGGCACCAACACAAGAUGACCCAAUCUGGAGAGAAAACUGGACUAAAGUAGGACGGAGCUGAACACACACUGAACAUACACACUGAACACACACUGAACACACA
Molecule: long non-coding RNA, 984 nt
Organism: Trematomus bernacchii (emerald rockcod)
Lineage: Eukaryota; Metazoa; Chordata; Actinopteri; Perciformes; Nototheniidae
Exons: 3
Source: RefSeq, a predicted model, not a curated record